RNAcentral lists this ribosomal RNA (389 nucleotides) under uncultured Nitrospina sp. RNAcentral's name for it is "bacterial SSU rRNA". It matches the Rfam family "Bacterial small subunit ribosomal RNA", at positions 29 to 410 of the family's 1533-position model. The record is from RNAcentral. Lineage: Bacteria; Pseudomonadati; Nitrospinota; Nitrospinia; Nitrospinales; Nitrospinaceae.
AACGAACGCUGGCGGUGUGCUUAACACAUGCAAGUCGAACGAGAACAUUCCUUUCGGGGAACUAGUAAAGUGGCGCAAGGGUGAGUAACACGUGAAUAAUCUGCCCUCGAGAUCGGGAUAACCUGGCGAAAGCUAGGCUAAUACCGGAUAAGACCACAUUCCAUAGGGAAUGCGGAAAAAGGAGUCUCAACCUUCACUCGAGGAUGAGUUCGCGGACCAUUAGCUUGUUGGUGAGAUAAAAGCUCACCAAGGCUACGAUGGAUAGCCGGCCUGAGAGGGUGAACGGCCACACUGGAACUGAGACACGGUCCAGACUCCUACGGGAGGCAGCAGUGGGGAAUAUUGCGCAAUGGGCGGAAGCCUGACGCAGCAACACCGUGUGAGCGAUG